Molecule: ribosomal RNA, 490 nt
Filed under: uncultured bacterium
Lineage: Bacteria
Description: partial 16S ribosomal RNA
Rfam family: Bacterial small subunit ribosomal RNA
Source: RNAcentral
AGUGAACGCUGGCGGCAGGCCUAAUACAUGCAAGUCGAACGGCAGCACAGUGGGGCUUGCUCCAUGGGUGGCGAGUGGCGGACGGGUGAGGAAUACAUGGGAAUCUGCCCAGUCGUGGGGGAUAACGUAGGGAAACUUACGCUAAUACCGCAUGCGCCCUUCGGGGGAAAGCCGGGGACCUUCGGGCCUGGCGCGAUUGGAUGAGCCCAUGUUCGAUUAGCUAGUUGGCGGGGUAAAGGCCCACCAAGGCGACGAUCGAUAGCUGGUCUGAGAGGAUGAUCAGCCACACUGGGACUGAGACACGGCCCAGACUCCUACGGGAGGCAGCAGUAGGGAAUAUUGGACAAUGGGCGCAAGCCUGAUCCAGCCAUGCCGCGUGAGUGAAGAAGGCCCUCGGGUUGUAAAGCUCUUUUGUCCGGGAAGAAAAGCAUCGGGCUAAUACCUCGGUGUUCUGACGGUACCGGAAGAAUAAGCACCGGCUAACUUCGUG